GAUGAACGCUGGCGGCGUGCCUAAUACAUGCAAGUCGAGCGGUAAGGCCCUUCGGGGUACACGAGCGGCGGACGGCUGAGUAACACGUAGGAACGUACCCCAAACUGAGGGAUAAGCACCGGAAACGGUGUCUAAUACCGCAUGUGCUCUUCGGAGUAAAGCUACGGCGGUUUGGGAACGGCCUGCGCAUGAUUAGCUUGUUGGUGAGGUAAUGGCUCACCAAGGCGACGAUCAUUAGCUGGUCUGAGAGGAUGAUCAGCCAGACUGGGACUGAGCCACGGCCCAGACUCCUACGGGAGGCAGCAGUAGGGAAUUUUCCACAAUGGGGGCAACCCUGAUGGAGCAACGCCGCGUGCAGGAUGAAUGCCUUCGGGUUGUAAACUGCUUUUAUCUGUGACGAUUAUGACGGUAGCAGAUGAAUAAGGAUCGGCUAACUCCGUGCCAGCCGCCGCGGUAA
This 457-nucleotide ribosomal RNA is filed under the name uncultured bacterium. Its description in RNAcentral is "partial 16S ribosomal RNA". It matches the Rfam family "Bacterial small subunit ribosomal RNA", at positions 28 to 523 of the family's 1533-position model. The record is from RNAcentral.